CGGACGGGUGAGUAAUGCUUGGGAAUCUGGCUUAUGGAGGGGGAUAACUACGGGAAACUGUAGCUAAUACCGCGUAAUAUCUUCGGAUUAAAGGGUGGGACUUUCGGGCCACCUGCCAUAAGAUGAGCCCAAGUGGGAUUAGGUAGUUGGUGGGGUAAAGGCCUACCAAGCCGACGAUCUCUAGCUGGUCUGAGAGGAUGACCAGUCACACUGGAACUGAGACACGGUCCAGACUCCUACGGGAGGCAGCAGUGGGGAAUAUUGCACAAUGGGGGGAACCCUGAUGCAGCCAUGCCGCGUGAAUGAAGAAGGCCUUCGGGUUGUAAAGUUCUUUCGGUGAUGAGGAAGGUGUUUGUUUUAAUAGAGCAAGCAAUUGACGUUAGUCACAGAAGAAGCACCGGCUAACUCCGUGCCAGCAGCCGCGGUAAUACGGAGGGUGCGAGCGUUAAUCGGAAUGACUGGGCGUAAAGGGCACGCAGGCGGUGACUUAAGUGAGAUGUGAAAGCCCCGAGCUUAACUUGGGAAUUGCAUUUCAUACUGGGUCGCUAGAGUAUUUUAGGGAGGGGUAGAAUUCCACGUGUAGCGGUGAAAUGCGUAGAGAUGUGGAGGAAUACCGAAGGCGAAGGCAGCCCCUUGGGAAUAUACUGACGCUCAUGUGCGAAAGCGUGGGGAGCAAACAGGAUUAGAUACCCUGGUAGUCCACGCUGUAAACGCUGU
RNAcentral lists this ribosomal RNA (717 nucleotides) under uncultured Actinobacillus sp. RNAcentral describes it as "bacterial SSU rRNA". It matches the Rfam family "Bacterial small subunit ribosomal RNA", at positions 99 to 812 of the family's 1533-position model. The record is from RNAcentral. Lineage: Bacteria; Pseudomonadati; Pseudomonadota; Gammaproteobacteria; Pasteurellales; Pasteurellaceae.